RNAcentral lists this unclassified non-coding RNA (159 nucleotides) under uncultured Helotiales. RNAcentral describes it as "sequence contains ITS1". The record is from RNAcentral. Lineage: Eukaryota; Fungi; Ascomycota; Leotiomycetes; Helotiales.
CAGAGUUCAUGCCCUUACGGGUAGAUCUCCCACCCUUGAAUAUUUUAUACCUUUGUUGCUUUGGCGGGCCGCUUCGGCUACCGGCUUCGGCUGGUGAGUGCCCGCCAGAGGACCCCAAACUCUGAAUUAAAGUAUUGUCUGAGUACUAUAUAAUAGUUA